UCUUAGUCUUACUCCUUUGAGUUCUCUUUGAAUUCUCUCUCUGCCCCCCCCCCCCGUGUAUACACACACACACACACACACACACAGAGAGACGCUCUAUUCCCACAGUUACCUCACUACUGGCCCUUUCUGUUCUUGCGUUUGCCCCUGUGCUGUGACCUCCUGCGCCUCAGCAUAUGAGCUAAAGGGUCUUGGGCAGCCAGUUACACACUCCCCGCCCCCCAACACACACACACACACACACACACACACACACACACUGACUCGAUGCUUCACUUAGAGUGAAGAAAUGAGGGAAGUGGAACAAUUUUAAAUUUACUGUGAUCUUCAAGACAGCUUUUUCUACACCUGGGAAUUGCUGUUAGACAAUUAAGGUUAGUAAAGCUCAUUGCAUUUCUCAGAGGAAAGGUGUUAUUUAUUACCAGAUAAUUAUUGUUAAAAAUAACAAUAAUGUAAAAAUGGGACUGUGGCAUGUUUGAGACGUUAUCAUUCUUAGGUUACAGACGUUGAGGGGAGUUAUUGGCAAUCUAGAAACAAUAGUUUGUUGUUGUUCACAACAUACUCCAUGUCAGAAACUCCUGGAAUUCUGAUGUCUGAUGACUGGCCCAAAAUCAGAAGCCAUGUUAUUCAGCUAAACUGCCCCUCCAAAAACAAACCCCUAUUAGAAAAGAGAAUGUCAGAUGUAAGAUGAGUGGUAUCCAGACCUAUAGUAUCAGCAUCACCUGGGAACUUACCAAAAUGCAGAACUGCAGACUCCACCUAGACAUACUGAUUCAGAAAUACUAGUGAUAUUAAAAUCAUGUUCUACAGAGAGAGAGACAGAGAGACAUCGAGAGAGAGAGAACUUGAGACUGAUAUAAGACAUUCCCAUCUUCAAUUAGAAAGGAGUUACAAAUGAACUAUGCAUAUUGACAAUUUCAAGGCCAGUUCUUCCCCUGUGACUCUUGACUCUCAAGGAAAUGACGCCCUGUGGGACCAUGGCAAGAGGCACUAAUGCACCUGUACAUUGUGAGAAUUGUUUUCUAGUGGCAAGAAUACAGAAGAUCUGAAUUUGAAUUCUGUCUUCACUAUCUUCAAGCUUUCUAAUCACAGACUUUUCACGAGCUCUCUGAGUUCCUCCUCUGUACACUGGGCAUAGUAAUCAACAUAGCUGAGAAGGUUAAAUGAGAAUAUUUUCAUAUAUGCGAAUCUGUGGUCCCUGAUAAAAUGUCGACAUUCAUAAAUAGCUGUUGUUGCUUUCACAGUGCCUUUUAUGUGAGCUUCUACCCCAAAGCACUCACCCAUUUUAUACUGACUUGAUGAUCUCUGAGAAGUGAGUAGCAGUGGCCACACUGAAGUCAGACCUCAGCCUCAUGUGAUGCAUGGCAUUGUGUUCCUUAGCAGCUCAACUCAACUGGCUUCCAAGGCAGGUGUACAGAGACACCAUCAAAGCUACAGGCAGAAAAGAAGUGACCCUCUGUCUGAUCUGCAUCUGACACCAUCAUGAAACUUGCUGGGUUCUAAGAGCAGACUCUUUAUUAUAGUGCUGAUAUAAGAGGCAGGGGGAAACAGAUGGAUUUCCAGAUACUAAGUAGAAUUUGUGGCAUGAGCAGCCCUUUAAAAUUACCUUUUAACUUAAAAACUUAGUACACUGGAUACAGAAGUCAUUAAAAGGGAAUAAAUAUGAAACCCUGCGAGGUCAUUUUCACUGAGUCUUUAUUUUAGGAGUAUAACUAUUCUUUAAGCAAUAAAACAUGAGAGACCAUGCAGUAGCUCUGAUUAGUAGACCCUCAGGUGUAUGCAGGUACCUGAGAGGGGAAAUAAGGAAAUAGGGUUAGAAGAUAGUCUGCCAAAAAAGCUGGAAGAUCAUAGCGGCGGGAUGUGAAGGAGAAGGCUUUGAUUAAAGGACAGGAAGAUUAUGGCUCUGUUUAAUUACAAAUUUCACACUUUUAGUAAACUAUUGUAUGCGCUGAACAUGUACAGUUACCUAAUUACAUAGAGGAUAUCUGUAUAUUGCCAAGUAACUGUUCACUGCAGUGUGGGAGAAUAUUGAUCAGUGAUUUUCUUUAUUAUCUUAAUAUAGUUGCCAGAAGAUUGAAAAGUUCAGUGGGAUGAAGAGUUAAUAAUCUCUAGCCAUAUGGUGGGUUAGAAAGAACAAUGAACACCUUGUGGGCCCAGUUUUGCUGGUUAUGUGGCUGCUAAGGUAAAUGGUUCAAUGCAUAGCACCUCUCCACCAUACCAGUCAAAACUUUUGACAAAUAUUACUAUCUUCUUUCUCUGCUGGGAAACGAUGAGUUGAUGGAACCUUUGGUACCGUAGACUAAUAUUUAAAAGGAAGCCAUCCUGACCAAUAAUAAAUGACUGAUAGGCCCUGGAAGAUCUGUUUUAUUUGCUAUGAUAAACACCACUAUCCCAAGACAGUUGUUUUGGGUUUAGUUUUCGUUUGGUUUGGGUUGUUUCCUUGUUCAUUUGUUUUGUUUUAGCUUUUCAUUUAGAACUAAGAAAAGAUGAAUCUGUUUGAGGUCAGAGGAGAAAUGGAACAAAUAACACUCCUUCCAUCUCUGGAAAAAAGCAAGGC
This 2557-nucleotide long non-coding RNA is filed under the name Mus musculus (house mouse). RNAcentral describes it as "long non-coding RNA chr16:43563501-43566058". Lineage: Eukaryota; Metazoa; Chordata; Mammalia; Rodentia; Muridae. The record is from RNAcentral.